GCCAGCAGCCAUAUCACCCUGCAACUCACAACUGGCAGCCCACUGGAGCUCAGCAGGUGUGAGCCUGGUCCGUACCUGGAUGGGAGACCUCCUGGGAAAAAAAAAAGGUUGCUGCUGGAA
This 120-nucleotide ribosomal RNA is filed under the name Lepisosteus oculatus (spotted gar). The record is from RNAcentral. Lineage: Eukaryota; Metazoa; Chordata; Actinopteri; Semionotiformes; Lepisosteidae.